RNAcentral lists this ribosomal RNA (1351 nucleotides) under Microbacterium laevaniformans. RNAcentral describes it as "bacterial SSU rRNA". It matches the Rfam family "Bacterial small subunit ribosomal RNA", at positions 74 to 1436 of the family's 1533-position model. Lineage: Bacteria; Bacillati; Actinomycetota; Actinomycetes; Micrococcales; Microbacteriaceae. The record is from RNAcentral.
CCCAGCUUGCUGGGUGGAUCAGUGGCGAACGGGUGAGUAACACGUGAGCAAUCUGCCCCUGACUCUGGGAUAAGCGCUGGAAACGGCGUCUAAUACUGGAUACGAACCGUGGAGGCAUCUUCAACGGUUGGAAAGAUUUUUUGGUCAGGGAUGAGCUCGCGGCCUAUCAGCUUGUUGGUGAGGUAAUGGCUCACCAAGGCGUCGACGGGUAGCCGGCCUGAGAGGGUGACCGGCCACACUGGGACUGAGACACGGCCCAGACUCCUACGGGAGGCAGCAGUGGGGAAUAUUGCACAAUGGGCGAAAGCCUGAUGCAGCAACGCCGCGUGAGGGAUGACGGCCUUCGGGUUGUAAACCUCUUUUAGCAGGGAAGAAGCGAAAGUGACGGUACCUGCAGAAAAAGCGCCGGCUAACUACGUGCCAGCAGCCGCGGUAAUACGUAGGGCGCAAGCGUUAUCCGGAAUUAUUGGGCGUAAAGAGCUCGUAGGCGGUUUGUCGCGUCUGCUGUGAAAUCCCGAGGCUCAACUUCGGGUCUGCAGUGGGUACGGGCAGACUAGAGUGCGGUAGGGGAGAUUGGAAUUCCUGGUGUAGCGGUGGAAUGCGCAGAUAUCAGGAGGAACACCGAUGGCGAAGGCAGAUCUCUGGGCCGUAACUGACGCUGAGGAGCGAAAGGGUGGGGAGCAAACAGGCUUAGAUACCCUGGUAGUCCACCCCGUAAACGUUGGGAACUAGUUGUGGGGUCCAUUCCACGGAUUCCGUGACGCAGCUAACGCAUUAAGUUCCCCGCCUGGGGAGUACGGCCGCAAGGCUAAAACUCAAAGGAAUUGACGGGGACCCGCACAAGCGGCGGAGCAUGCGGAUUAAUUCGAUGCAACGCGAAGAACCUUACCAAGGCUUGACAUAUACGAGAACGCUGCAGAAAUGUAGAACUCUUUGGACACUCGUAAACAGGUGGUGCAUGGUUGUCGUCAGCUCGUGUCGUGAGAUGUUGGGUUAAGUCCCGCAACGAGCGCAACCCUCGUUCUAUGUUGCCAGCACGUAAUGGUGGGAACUCAUGGGAUACUGCCGGGGUCAACUCGGAGGAAGGUGGGGAUGACGUCAAAUCAUCAUGCCCCUUAUGUCUUGGGCUUCACGCAUGCUACAAUGGCCGGUACAAAGGGCUGCAAUACCGUGAGGUGGAGCGAAUCCCAAAAAGCCGGUCCCAGUUCGGAUUGAGGUCUGCAACUCGACCUCAUGAAGUCGGAGUCGCUAGUAAUCGCAGAUCAGCAACGCUGCGGUGAAUACGUUCCCGGGUCUUGUACACACCGCCCGUCAAGUCAUGAAAGUCGGUAACACCUGAAGCCGGUGGCCC